GCGGAGGAAAAGAAACUAACAAGGAUUCCCCUAGUAACUGCGAGUGAAGCGGGAAAAGCUCAAAUUUAAAAUCUGGCGGUCUUUGGCCGUCCGAGUUGUAGUCUGGAGAAGUGCUUUCCGCGCUGGACCGUGUAUAAGUCUCCUGGAACGGAGCGUCAUAGAGGGUGAGAAUCCCGUCUUUGACACGGACUACCAGUGCUCUGUGAUGCGCUCUCAAAGAGUCGAGUUGUUUGGGAAUGCAGCUCAAAAUGGGUGGUGAAUUCCAUCUAAAGCUAAAUAUUGGCGAGAGACCGAUAGCGAACAAGUACCGUGAGGGAAAGAUGAAAAGCACUUUGGAAAGAGAGUUAAACAGUACGUGAAAUUGCUGAAAGGGAAACGCUUGAAGUCAGUCGCGUCAGCCGGAAAUCAGCCUUGCUUCCGCUUGGUGUACUUUCUGGUUGACGGGCCAGCAUCGAUUUUGACCGUUGGAAAAAGGCAGAGGGAAUGUGGCACCUUCGGGUGUGUUAUAGCCCUCUGUUGCAUACAACGGUUGGGAUCGAGGAACUCAGCACGCCUUCAUGGUCGGGGUUCGCCCACGUUCGUGCUUAGGAUGCUGGCGUAAUGGCUUUAAACGACCCGUCUUGAAACACGGACCAAGGAGUCUAACAUGCCUGCGAGUGUUUGGGUGGAAAACCCGAGCGCGUAAUGAAAGUGAAAGUCGGGACCUCUGUCAUGGAGGGCACCGACGCCCGGACCUGAAGUUCUCUGACGGAUCCGCGGUGGAGCAUGUAUGUUGGGACCCGAAAGAUGGUGAACUAUGCCUGAAUAGGGUGAAGCCAGAGGAAACUCUGGUGGAGGCUCGUAGCGAUUCUGACGUGCAAAUCGAUCGUCAAAUUUGGGUAUAGGGGCGAAAGACUAAUCGAACCAUCUAGUAGCUGGUUCU
Molecule: ribosomal RNA, 922 nt
Filed under: Phlebiella californica
Lineage: Eukaryota; Fungi; Basidiomycota; Agaricomycetes; Xenasmatellaceae
Description: LSU rRNA
Rfam family: Eukaryotic large subunit ribosomal RNA
Source: RNAcentral